RNAcentral lists this long non-coding RNA (833 nucleotides) under Homo sapiens (human). RNAcentral's name for it is "HSALNT0109794". The stretch from base 460 to 555 matches the Rfam family "Y RNA". The record is from RNAcentral. Lineage: Eukaryota; Metazoa; Chordata; Mammalia; Primates; Hominidae.
GCCUGCUGAGAGCUGGGGAUACAGUGAGAGCUGGGGAACAGAACAGGGAUGGUCCUAAUCUUUAUGGAGAACCAUUGGGUGGUCCAUUGGGUGAGAUGGACAUUUCUCCAGGAAUCCCACAAAAAUGGAAUCAUGAACUUCAAGAAGAGGUCAUGUAGGGAAAGGACACAAUGGGGUAAGAGUAUAUAACAGAGGGCCUGACUUAGUGGGAAGAGAGGGUGGACAGGGGAGACUCAAAAUGGCUUAAGCAAAAUAUCAAAGAAGAGCUAAGUGAAAGUAGAAUAUUGAGGAAAGAAUAUUCCCUGCAGAAGCCCUGUGUUGUUUUUUUUUUUUUCGAUUUAUAAAUAGUUUAUCCUGUUCACAUUAUGCAGAAUUUCAGUGUCGUUAAUCCACAAUGUUAGUACGGUAACAGAAACAUAAAGGAGAAAAAAGGCAGAUGGGGGCAAAAGAUCCAUGUUUAGCUGGUCCGAAAGUAGUGUUUUCUCAGUUGGCUGUUCACAAUCAGUUACAGAUCAAACUUCUUGUUCUACUAUUUCCCCCCUUGACUAGUUGUUAAAAAAAAAAGACACCCAGGAUUACCAGGUCUCUUAGAUUUAUAUUUAUUUCCAGGUUUAACUUACUAGGUCAAGUCUUUUUCUAAUUAUUAUUUUUGAGACACGGUCUGGUCUGUCACUCUGUCGCCCUGGCUGGAGUACAGUGGCAUGAUCACAGCUCACUGUAGCCUCCACCUCAUAGGCUCAAUUGACCCUCCCAUCUCAGCUACUAAAGUAGAUAGUACUAUAGGUGUGAACCACCAUGCCUCGCUACUUUUUUUUUAAAUUUAUUUUGUUUAA